RNAcentral lists this ribosomal RNA (497 nucleotides) under uncultured bacterium. RNAcentral's name for it is "partial 16S ribosomal RNA". It matches the Rfam family "Bacterial small subunit ribosomal RNA", at positions 28 to 507 of the family's 1533-position model. The record is from RNAcentral.
GAUGAACGCUGGCGGCGUGCCUAAUACAUGCAAGUCGAGCGAACGGACAAGAAGCUUGCUUCUCUGAUGUUAGCGGCGGACGGGUGAGUAACACGUGGAUAACCUACCUAUAAGACUGGGAUAACUUCGGGAAACCGUAGCUAAUACCGGAUAAUAUUUUGAACCGCAUGGUUCAAAAGUGAAAGACGGUCUUGCUGUCACUUAUAGAUGGAUCCGCGCUGCAUUAGCUAGUUGGUAAGGUAACGGCUUACCAAGGCAACGAUGCAUAGCCGACCUGAGAGGGUGAUCGGCCACACUGGAACUGAGACACGGUCCAGACUCCUACGGGAGGCAGCAGUAGGGAAUCUUCCGCAAUGGGCGAAAGCCUGACGGAGCAACGCCGCGUGAGUGAUGAAGGUCUUCGGAUCGUAAAACUCUGUUAUUAGGGAAGAACAAAUGUGUAAGUAACUGUGCACAUCUUGACGGUACCUAAUCAGAAAGCCACGGCUAACUACGUG